Papaver somniferum (opium poppy) is the source of this 2205-nucleotide long non-coding RNA. RefSeq lists it as uncharacterized. The record is from RefSeq and is a predicted model, not a curated record. Lineage: Eukaryota; Viridiplantae; Streptophyta; Magnoliopsida; Ranunculales; Papaveraceae. The transcript is spliced from 10 exons.
AACCUGAGCUGCUUGUCUUCUAAUCCUAAAUGGACAUCUUCAAAAUCAUGACAAAUCAAAAUAUAUCUCUUCUGAACUCUAAUCUCAUGAAUCAAAACCCUUUUCUCUCCCAUAACGUUAUCUUUUCUCUUUUUUAUCUUCUUUCUGUUCUAAACCUAAAUCGAGAUAUUCGAAUUGAAAUCAAGUUUUCUGAAAUCAAAAUUUAUAUCUUUUAAGUCUGAAUUUUAUUAAUCAAAACUCAUAGAAAUCGUUCAGAUCUGAGAUUUUGGUUUUUUCUCAUGUUACGAAACUUAGGGUUUCGUUGUUUGUUUUUUUUCAGUAGAAAUCACUAAAAAAGUUCAUUAUUUAUGAAGGAUUUUGGAUCUAAUAAAGGUAAAAUGGCGGUUCACCAUUAUCAUAGAGUUGGAGUUAAUGGUCUUGAAUUAAACAGGAAGAAAAAAAAUUCCAGUGAUAAAGUUUAUGUUGUUGAAAGAAAGAUGAAAGAGUCUUUUAGGAAGAUUUUCAGAUGGCUUAAAGACAGGUGAUUGUUGAAAGGGGAAAUUGCUGGAAAAAAAACGUCGUUGAAACUGUUAAGCUUCUUAAACAUAAACUGACUGAUAAGUUUGUUUGGUUUGUUCCUUGAUAAUCAUACAUGUUUGUUUCGUUUUUCCUUUAAUUUUAAAGUUGUUUUUGAGGUUUGGAAUUGUGACAUCUGAUUUAGUGGUUUUGUGAUUUUGAAUUUGUAGUUCUACCAAUCUAGUUGUCUAGUUCUAAUAGUGUUCCGUAGCCAGUCAUUUUCAGUGAUUGUGGAAUUUUAAGUGGUAGUGGAUGCUGGUUGUGGACGGUGAAGGUGGCUGGUAGUGGGGGUGGAUGUUAGUGGUGGGUGAUGCUGCUAGGGGUGGUGGAUGCUGGUGGUCAGUGGUUGAUGUUCUACUAUAUUCUAUUCAACUGGUAGAUCGCGGAGUGUUGCUGCAUAGUACUGUUUCGAUCCAAGCUGUACGAGGAUUAAUACCCAAGCUCAAAAGGGUCGAAACUUCACUUUUCUCUUGUUUAUUGUGAAACCACCAUUCCGCAUUUUAGUUUCUCCGGAAUAUCAAGGGUUUUUGAUAUUUUACCAUAUUACAAGGGCCAGUAUACAGUUUUUGACGUGUCUGCUCCAUUCGGUCGAUAUUGGUCCCUGUUGAGCAUCGUCAUGUUAAAGUAACAUAAAAUUCCAGUUCUAUUGAGGGUUCUUCCAAGAAAGGAUCUACAAGGGCAAAGUAGUUCUAGACGAAAUAUUUGCUAGGUUUACAAUCAAGGUUCCUUAUUGGAAAAUUGCAUUGAGAAAACUAUGGAUGCGCAAGAUACCUUCACCAUCCAUCGCUACUUGCCUGACGGAAGUUAUGAAGAUCGAGGAGUUGAUGAGGUGAUCGUUGAAUAUUCCUGGAAGAGACAAGUUGGUGGUGAUUGGUUAGUGGAUCAAUCUGGGGCUCUCGCUAUCACACUAUCAGCAAUAUAUUUUGUUAAUCUCAUUCUCAUUUGAAGUCUAGAUGCGUAAGUUGGAACAUCUGUGAUAUUUACCAAAUUAUUCUUAGUUUCUGACUUUCUGUCCUAUUUUGCUUCUGCAUUAAGUAUGUCUUUACUUGGUAAUCCAUCAUGUCAAUACUGGCUCUCUCAUCUGUUCAGAUUUUAUCAGCAAGGCCACUUGGUGGGGGUAAAAAUGGUGCGACUAUGGAGAACAUUUUGGUUCAGAAUUUCCCAUACAGGACUCCAAACAACUGAACUGGAAAAAAAAGGUAUGAAGCUGGUAAUGUUGUGGAUGGAUUGGUUCAUUACAUCAUGUCGUGGUGACAAGUGCGGAAAAAGGAUCGAGGUACCUUGUACCAUUUAUGUUAGUUUUUCAAGUUAGAGUAUAUCAGAGGCUAGUUUAAACUUGGGUAGGUCCUGUAGUGUGCCAACAUCAUACACACUCCCACUAUUUUCUUGUUGAUCUAAUCAUUAUGUAUUAGUCAUAAUUGGUUUGUAAACUCAGUCAUAGUUCAGCUCUGGUAUUCCGAGAUUAAUUAUCUUCAAGUCCUGCGAUGUAUUAUUCGUCUCCUUUAAUUGUACAAGUUCAAUAAAGCAUUUACUAUGUCUAUUUCGGAUCUCUUGUAGAGAGUAUAAUACAUGUGUAUGUAAUCCAUGUUGGAAGAGAGAAUAUUUUGAGAAUUUUCCAUUUUCGUAUGAAAAAUUGGGUCUUUUAGUUGA